AGUGGGGAAUAUUGCACAAUGGGCGCAAGCCUGAUGCAGCGACGCCGCGUGCGGGAUGACGGCCUUCGGGUUGUAAACCGCUUUUGACUGGGAGCAAGCCCUUCGGGGUGAGUGUACCUUUCGAAUAAGCACCGGCUAACUACGUGCCAGCAGCCGCGGUAAUACGUAGGGUGCAAGCGUUAUCCGGAAUUAUUGGGCGUAAAGGGCUCGUAGGCGGUUCGUCGCGUCCGGUGUGAAAGUCCAUCGCUUAACGGUGGAUCCGCGCCGGGUACGGGCGGGCUUGAGUGCGGUAGGGGAGACUGGAAUUCCCGGUGUAACGGUGGAAUGUGUAGAUAUCGGGAAGAACACCAAUGGCGAAGGCAGGUCUCUGGGCCGUCACUGACGCUGAGGAGCGAAAGCGUGGGGAGCGAACAGGAUUAGAUACCCUGGUAGUCCACGCCGUAAACGGUGGAUGCUGGAUGUGGGGACCAUUCCACGGUCUCCGUGUCGGAGCCAACGCGUUAAGCAUCCCGCCUGGGGAGUACGGCCGCAAGGCUAAAACUCAAAGAAAUUGACGGGGGCCCGCACAAGCGGCGGAGCAUGCGGAUUAAUUCGAUGCAACGCGAAGAACCUUACCUGGGCUUGACAUGUUCCCGACAGCCGUAGAGAUACGGUCUCCCUUCGGGGCGGGUUCACAGGUGGUGCAUGGUCGUCGUCAGCUCGUGUCGUGAGAUGUUGGGUUAAGUCCCGCAACGAGCGCAACCCUCGCCCUGUGUUGCCAGCACGUCGUGGUGGGAACUCACGGGGGACCGCCGGGGUCAACUCGGAGGAAGGUGGGGAUGACGUCAGAUCAUCAUGCCCCUUACGUCCAGGGCUUCACGCAUGCUACAAUGGCCGGUACAACGGGAUGCGACCUCGUGAGGGGGAGCGGAUCCCUUAAAACCGGUCUCAGUUCGGAUUGGAGUCUGCAACCCGACUCCAUGAAGGCGGAGUCGCUAGUAAUCGCGGAUCAGCAACGCCGCGGUGAAUGCGUUCCCGGGCCUUGUACACACCGCCCGUCAAGUCAUGAAAGUGGGUAGCACCCGAAGCCGGUGGCCCAACCUUUUGGGGGGAGCCGUCUAAGGUGAGACUCGUGAUUGGGACUAAGUCGUAACAAGGUAGCCGUACCGGAAGGUGCGGCUG
Molecule: ribosomal RNA, 1161 nt
Filed under: human gut metagenome
Description: bacterial SSU rRNA
Rfam family: Bacterial small subunit ribosomal RNA
Source: RNAcentral